This 487-nucleotide ribosomal RNA is filed under the name uncultured bacterium. Its description in RNAcentral is "bacterial SSU rRNA". It matches the Rfam family "Bacterial small subunit ribosomal RNA", at positions 29 to 510 of the family's 1533-position model. The record is from RNAcentral.
AAUGAACGCUGGCGGCGCGCCUAAUACAUGCAAGUCGAGCGAGAAGACGUAGCAAUACGUUUGUAAAGCGGCGAACGGGUGAGGAAUACAUGGGUAACCUACCCUCGAGUGGGGAAUAACUAGCCGAAAGGUUAGCUAAUACCGCGUACGCUCCUUGGACUUCGGUUCAGGGAGGAAAGCGAUACCGUGGGUAUCGCGCUCUUGGUUGGGCUCAUGUCCUAUCAGCUUGUUGGGAGGUAACGGCUCACCAAGGCUUCGACGGGUAGCUGGUCUGAGAGGACGAUCAGCCACACUGGCACUGCGACACGGGCCAGACUCCUACGGGAGGCAGCAGUAAGGAAUAUUGCGCAAUGGGCGAAAGCCUGACGCAGCGACGCCGCGUGGGGGAUGAAGGUCUUCGGAUUGUAAACCCCUUUCGGGAGGGAAGAUGGAACGAGCAAUCGUUCGGACGGUACCUCCAGAAGCAGCCACGGCUAACUUCGUGCCA